GGGCCCGCACAAGCGGUGGAGUAUGUGGUUUAAUUCGAUGCAACGCGAAGAACCUUACCAGGGUUUGACAUCCUGCGAAUCUCUUGGAAACAGGAGAGUGCCUUCGGGAACGCAGUGACAGGUGGUGCAUGGCUGUCGUCAGCUCGUGUCGUGAGAUGUUGGGUUAAGUCCCGCAACGAGCGCAACCCACGUCUUUAGUUGCCAGCAUUCAGUUGGGCACUCUAGAGAGACUGCCGGUGAUAAACCGGAGAAGGUGUGGAUGACGUCAAGUCAUCAUGCCCCUUAUAUCCUGGGCUACACACGUACUACAAUGCUACGGACAAAGGGCAGCAAACUCGCGAGAGCUAGCAAAUCCCAUAAACGUGGCUC
This 369-nucleotide ribosomal RNA is filed under the name uncultured bacterium. RNAcentral's name for it is "bacterial SSU rRNA". It matches the Rfam family "Bacterial small subunit ribosomal RNA", at positions 917 to 1289 of the family's 1533-position model. The record is from RNAcentral.